UAAACUAACAAAGUCAUACACCUAAAUAAAUUUUUAAUUGCAGUUUUUAAGCCAAACCUAACGCUAUGAACAUCAUAAAAACGAUCCAACAUGUACAAACAAUUCCAAACAUUGCUAAAAAGUAUUGCUCAAAUAACCCAGAUUCAUCUUCUUCCAUUGGUAAUCAACAUCGUUGAAAAAUAAACUUUUCCAGAGAGGAGACCAUCUUGUGUUGUUAGGACUUUCACUAGUGAAGACGAUGUACAUAUCUACAACAUCUAACGGUUUUUGCACGUACAACACAUUUUGUAUAAGAGUAACAAACAAGAUGAGUGAUGAGUUCAAAAGAGGCAUUACACUUGAAACGCAG
This is a long non-coding RNA of Tribolium castaneum (red flour beetle), 349 nucleotides long. RefSeq lists it as uncharacterized. Lineage: Eukaryota; Metazoa; Arthropoda; Insecta; Coleoptera; Tenebrionidae. The record is from RefSeq and is a predicted model, not a curated record. The transcript has 2 exons.